UGGGGAAUAUUGGACAAUGGGGGCAACCCUGAUCCAGCCAUGCCGCGUGAGUGAUGAAGGCCCUAGGGUUGUAAAGCUCUUUUACCAGGGAUGAUAAUGACAGUACCUGGAGAAUAAGCUCCGGCUAACUCCGUGCCAGCAGCCGCGGUAAUACGGAGGGAGCUAGCGUUGUUCGGAAUUACUGGGCGUAAAGCGCGCGUAGGCGGCUUUCCAAGUCAGAGGUGAAAUCCCGGGGCUCAACCCCGGAACUGCCUUUGAAACUGGAUGGCUAGAAUAUGGUAGAGGUAAGUGGAAUUCCGAGUGUAGAGGUGAAAUUCGUAGAUAUUCGGAAGAACACCAGUGGCGAAGGCGACUUACUGGGCCAUUAUUGACGCUGAGGUGCGAAAGCGUGGGGAGCAAACAGGAUUAGAUACCCCCGUAGUCC
RNAcentral lists this ribosomal RNA (424 nucleotides) under uncultured prokaryote. RNAcentral's name for it is "bacterial SSU rRNA". It matches the Rfam family "Bacterial small subunit ribosomal RNA", at positions 355 to 796 of the family's 1533-position model. The record is from RNAcentral.